UACAGAGGGUGCGAGCGUUGUUCGGAAUUAUUGGGCGUAAAGAGCUCGUAGGCGGUCUGUCGCGUCUGCUGUGAAAACUCGGGGCUUAACCCCGGGCCUGCAGUGGGUACGGGCAGACUAGAGUGCGGUAGGGGAGACUGGAAUUCCUGGUGUAGCGGUGAAAUGCGCAGAUAUCAGGAGGAACACCGGUGGCGAAGGCGGGUCUCUGGGCCGUAACUGACGCUGAGGAGCGAAAGCAUGGGGAGCGAACAGG
RNAcentral lists this ribosomal RNA (253 nucleotides) under uncultured bacterium. RNAcentral describes it as "partial 16S ribosomal RNA". It matches the Rfam family "Bacterial small subunit ribosomal RNA", at positions 524 to 776 of the family's 1533-position model. The record is from RNAcentral.